CCCUGGGAUAGCUCAGUUGGUAGAGCGUGAGGCUGUUCAUCUCAGGGUUAUGGGUUCAAGCCCCAGGUUGGGCA
Podarcis lilfordi (Lilford's wall lizard) is the source of this 74-nucleotide non-coding RNA. NCBI's taxonomy places the organism in Eukaryota, Metazoa, Chordata, Lepidosauria, Squamata, Lacertidae. The record is from the annotation of a GenBank genome assembly.